CUUCUUCCUCUUGUGUGACCAAAGUGCCUCUCGGUCUUCUCUCUGUCUGUUUCUGGAAUAACCAAUAUGAAUAGGGCAUUAUUAUCCUAUCAUUAUAAAGGUUUGUGCUUUAUUAAAAUUAUUAUUUUUUCAAACGUACACUACUUGUCUCAAUGAGACAAGGCAUGAAGGAGUAUGCUUAUAAUUAGGAGUUUAUACGACACCGGCGCUGCUCCUCUG
RNAcentral lists this long non-coding RNA (219 nucleotides) under Elaeis guineensis (African oil palm). Its description in RNAcentral is "long non-coding RNA (EGUI_LNC015580)". The record is from RNAcentral. Lineage: Eukaryota; Viridiplantae; Streptophyta; Magnoliopsida; Arecales; Arecaceae.